GACGAACGCUGGCGGCGUGCUUAACACAUGCAAGUCGAACGGAAAGGCCCUGCCUUGGUGGGGUGCUCGAGUGGCGAACGGGUGAGUAACACGUGAGUAACCUGCCCUUGACUUUGGGAUAACUUCAGGAAACUGGGGCUAAUACCGGAUAGGAGCUCCUGCUGCAUGGGGGGGGUUGGAAAGUUUCGGCGGUUGGGGUUGGACUCGCGGCUUAUCAGCUUGUUGGGGGGGUAGUGGCUUACCAAGGCUUUGACGGGUAGCCGGCCUGAGAGGGUGACCAGCCACAAUGGGACUGCGAUACGGCCCAGACUGCAACGGUGGGCAGAGGUGGGAAGUAUUGCACAGUGGGCGGAAGCCUGAUGAGGCGACGCCGCGUGCGGAAUGACCGCCUUCGGGGUGUAAACCGCUUUCGCCUGUGACGAAGCGUGAGUGACGGUAAUGGGUGAAGAAGCACCGGCUAACUACGUG
This 468-nucleotide ribosomal RNA is filed under the name uncultured bacterium. RNAcentral's name for it is "partial 16S ribosomal RNA". It matches the Rfam family "Bacterial small subunit ribosomal RNA", at positions 28 to 507 of the family's 1533-position model. The record is from RNAcentral.